GAAAAAAGAAAACACGCCCCGAGCCACCGAAUGGAGGUCUCAAACUUCAUUCCCCUGAUAUUUGACUCGGCCCAGCUUCAGCACUCGCGUUCUGCACCCGAGGGCCUCAGAAGCGUGAGAAACACUUUGCACAAGAAAGGCGACGGUGUUUCAGAGCCUGACAGAGCUUGGACAGUGUGCAGAUAGGCAGGAAAUCUAGGUAAAGGGUUUCUGGCAAGGCUAUGAUGAGGAUGCAGAGUGGCUUGCCAAAAUGUUGUACGAAUUAUUUGAUGAUUUUAAGGAAGACAUUUCUGCAGCAGUUUUUUGAAGUUCAUCUCACGCGUGCCAAAUCGGUUUAGCGCUCAUUGGUUAACCCGUCAAAUAUCUAACUAACGAUUUAUGUUAUAUUUUGUUUUGUUAAGAAUCAUAUUAACGUGAAAAACAAGGAAAGAUUGUUUUAUUCGAUUUACCGUAUACGAAGAUUGAGCUUAGUUUGUUUCACAUCACGUGUUUUCUGUUGGCCUUCGCGUACUGUAAGUUAGUUGCGCUCAUUGCUAAACGAUUUUUACUUUUAGGUUUCCAAAACGUUUUUAAGGCGUAUGUGUACUUAUAUGUCUUAUAAACAUAUUUUAACCUUGUGUUUAUGAAAAAGUUUGUUAACAACAACAACAACAACAAAACUAUGGUAAAUCAUUAAGGGUAACCUUACCAUAUGCAGUAAAGCAAAAAAAUAAUUCCCCUUAAACGAACCUAUAGUUAAGAACCUAUACAACCUAUAGUUUUCACUCCUUUUUUUAUUUAUGGGAAAAUGAGCACAUCAUAUGUUAAACAGAGGACAUACUGAAAGUCCUUUAAAAUGUUUCAGUAAACACUGAUUGUAUCAAGAUGAUAAAAGUAUGCAAAGUUGUUCGGGAAUAUCUGCAUACACACAGACAGACACACUUUCACACAUGGGUUUCUCAUUUAUUUGGAGGCUCCAGCUGUAGUGGAUUUCCUGGGUUAAACAGUGAAGAUGGCACAUUGUCUGGGCUUACAAAACCCCACUUGUCAAUUGCCUUCCCCCUGGUGGAGUAUAGCACAGUCUCCCAGGCAGGCCGCCAGUGUGAUGACUCGUUCCCACAGCUCUGAGCCCUGCGCUGAAACCCAAUCACCAUGUGAGAGACGGCCAGGAACACAGGGAGGGCCGGCAGGGCCGCUGCCACUGGGAGGUUACCGCGAGCCGAGCGUCACCCCUACCACUGCUGCCGCAGCUCGUAACCCUAUUCUGCACAUUGUUUGUUUGUUGUCAGAUUGGAUGACCCUCUGUCGUUGUUUAGAAGUCCAGACACUUUGACUUAUCAGUGUGAGCAGUUGAAAAGCGCUAGUGCACAUGCUUGACCCCCAGGCCCUCUGGUUUUACUGCUAUCACCCGAGACAGCACUGUUGAAUCUGGAGGAGAAUGUGACAACAGCAGGCUCACCAGCUGACCAUACGCAGACCCCAGAUCAGCAACACGUCUGCUAAUUCUUCAUACACCCUGCAGGGGAAAACCUGGACUGAAGGUCCGAGCCUGGAAAAUACCUGUCAUCGGAAGAGCUGCGGUCAGCUGCAGGAAUCUUGCUACAUUCACACCAGCAGAAACGCAGAGGUAGAGGUGUCCACGACAGCUCCCAGAUACUCUGCUGCUGUCUUUCCCACUGCCUGAAAACACACAAGGACUUGUCACUGUCUAUUAAAGCUAAAAAAAGCUCUUGGGUAGGACAGACAGCCUACAAAAGUUCAAUAAAAUUGGGUAUUUGUUCA
This is a long non-coding RNA of Cyprinus carpio (common carp), 1761 nucleotides long. Lineage: Eukaryota; Metazoa; Chordata; Actinopteri; Cypriniformes; Cyprinidae. The record is from Ensembl.